Molecule: long non-coding RNA, 480 nt
Organism: Austrofundulus limnaeus
Lineage: Eukaryota; Metazoa; Chordata; Actinopteri; Cyprinodontiformes; Rivulidae
Exons: 2
Source: RefSeq, a predicted model, not a curated record
UGCUAUUCAAAGAGAGAGAUACAAUAUUUAACAAAAUUUAUAAUAAAGAUUGUUCAAUCUAUUUAAAUUAAAAUGUUAAAGCAAUCAGAGUUUCUCUCAAAGCUCAUAUUUGUCUGACUGCGUAAAUAAUCGUUUUCUCAUUUUCCUCAGCAUUUCAUAAGUGUCCAACUCAUGGGGAGUGUGGAUAUCAGUGCUCCUGGCACAGAAAAUGCAAAUUUACUAAAUGCUGCCAAUAUAAAUGUGGUUCCAAAUGCGUACCACUAAUAGGCCCAUGAGUUUAGCCAAAUCUUUACAUCUGUUCAAGCCUCACUGUUAUGAAGAUAAUGAUGGUGAAUGCAGCUGCAAGAAGUGCUCUCUAAACAGAUGUGAAGACACCUGUAAACAAUGUUUUUUUUCUUAAAAACACCAACUGAGCUGCAUCAUACAGUACUGUAUGCUCUUCUUUGGUUUCCUUAAUAAAGUCAUAAUGAUAAAAACUCA